AAUGACAUCCAUUGUCGGCGGCUCUGCGUUUGAUUAUAAGAUAAUGACAAUAAUUCAUUGUUGGCGGCUGUUCACCUUGAGACAAGGUAACCACAAGUUUAAAGGAAGAUGUAUAAGAGGUAAAUUAUAUGUUGCUAAAUAUGAAACAGCACCUCACUUGUCCUGGUUUAUAACAAUAAAAACAACAAUUUUCGAUAGAACAUAUAUUUAGUCGGGUUUUCCCCCUAGGAGAGAGACUGAGACACUGAUCCUUGCAUAAUUACUACGAAGGAAAAUCCCGCUAAAUUGUUAGGUUCAGAUACUGUACGAAACCUUCUUCUUGAACUGCGGGAACCACUCGGAGCCUUUUCUGGACCUUUGGCUUCCUGUCCCAGCCAGGUCUUUGCUGAUCACGGAACUAAGGUCACCAGGGCGGGGAUUUUAAACAUAGCACCUGUUUGCAAACACAGUCGUCUCAUGGAUCAGAAACAGAGCUACUCCUGUGCAAAAUCGGAAUUUCCUCGUGCAAAACGGAGCUACGCCUCAAACUCCGCCCUUUUCUCGGAGUCUCCUGUUCCCUCCACGCUCAGCUGUCGCCGCCUACCCCCUGCCUGGACUGGUUGCACCUGUUGUGCCGCGGUCACCCGGCCCGCAGCCUCGCCUGCCGGGGUCUUUCCUCCACCAGCAGACACACGAAUCUUUGAACCCUCCGGUCAGAUCCAAUCGUUCCUCCGGGAGGGAGUUUGGUGGUGCCUCAUAAAGCCGAAUGUAUUCGGACCAUACGACCCCCCUCCACCCCGCUCCCAACUACUUGCCCAGAUGAGAAAAGUAACGUCCACAUGAAGAAAGAAUCUGCACAUGAAUCUUUCUAGUAGUUUAUUGGUCGUCGUCCAAAACUGGAAGCCACCGAGAAAGUUCUGAGCGAACGACUCAUUUAGAAGUUCAGAUAAACAGAUUAACAAACUGUGGUACAUCCAGCCGAUGGAAUACUACUGAGCCAACAAAAGGAAUGAGCUGUCAAGCCACAGAGAGAGAAGAUUUGCUGCAAACAGAUCCACACAAAGAAGGCACUGAACACAUAGUUCCUGCCCAGGCUGUCUCAUACAAGCCGUAACUUCUGCCCGUCCUAUCAGCCAGCGAACAGCACUGAAGGUAGACACCAAGUUAUCUUGUCCACCAGUCUUAUUUCCAGUGAUGAAUCCAAUGUCUGGUGAGAAGCAAGUCCACCAUAAAUAUUCAUUGAUUGAGUGAAUGAUUGUUUUGUCAUCUGAAAGACAGACAAAGGAUACUUAUGC
Felis catus (domestic cat) is the source of this 1274-nucleotide long non-coding RNA. RefSeq lists it as uncharacterized. The record is from RefSeq and is a predicted model, not a curated record. The transcript is spliced from 4 exons. Lineage: Eukaryota; Metazoa; Chordata; Mammalia; Carnivora; Felidae.